UACGGGGGGGGGCAAGCGUUGUUCGGAAUUACUGGGCGUAAAGGGCUCGUAGGCGGCCAACUAAGUCGGAUGUGAAAUCCCAAGGCUCAACCUUGGAACUGCCUUUGAUACUGGGGAUCUUGAGUCCGGGAGAGGUGAGUGGAACUGCGAGUGUAGAGGUGAAAUUCGUAGAUAUUCGCAAGAACACCAGUGGCGAAGGCGGCUCACUGGCCCGGUACUGACGCUGAGGUGCGAAAGCGUGGGGAGCAAACAGG
RNAcentral lists this ribosomal RNA (254 nucleotides) under uncultured bacterium. RNAcentral's name for it is "partial 16S ribosomal RNA". It matches the Rfam family "Bacterial small subunit ribosomal RNA", at positions 524 to 776 of the family's 1533-position model. The record is from RNAcentral.